UACGUAGGGGGCAAGCGUUAUCCGGAUUUACUGGGUGUAAAGGGAGCGUAGACGGCAGCGCAAGUCUGGAGUGAAAUCCCAUGGCUUAACCAUGGAACUGCUUUGGAAACUGUGCAGCUGGAGUGUAGGAGAGGUAAGCGGAAUUCCCAGUGUAGCGGUGGAAUGCGUAGAUAUUGGGAAGAACACCAGCGGCGAAGGCGAUUCACUGGACUGUAACUGACACUGAGGCACGAAAGCGUGGGGAGCAAACAGG
RNAcentral lists this ribosomal RNA (253 nucleotides) under uncultured Eubacteriales bacterium. RNAcentral's name for it is "uncultured Clostridiales bacterium partial 16S ribosomal RNA". It matches the Rfam family "Bacterial small subunit ribosomal RNA", at positions 524 to 776 of the family's 1533-position model. The record is from RNAcentral. Lineage: Bacteria; Bacillati; Bacillota; Clostridia; Eubacteriales.